UGAAAAAAACAUAAUAGAAAAAUUAUUUCAAAUGAGUUUAUCACAAGUAGUAAUAAAGAUGCUACCUUGAGUAAAAGGUUAGUAAUUGAACAAAAAAGAAAAAUGAUGGAACAAUUUGCCCAACCCAUAUGAUCAGUUGAACCGCCCCUGGAUGCCUCACUGCCACUGGAUGAAAAAUUGGCAUUCGCAUAAUUUCACUUCAUUUUGUAUGAUUAAAGUGGAGGGAGCCAUGGGUUUGAAUAAGUCGUCUACUAAGAGCA
RNAcentral lists this long non-coding RNA (260 nucleotides) under Citrus x clementina. RNAcentral describes it as "Citrus clementina (C. clementina) long non-coding RNA (CCLE_LNC005277)". Lineage: Eukaryota; Viridiplantae; Streptophyta; Magnoliopsida; Sapindales; Rutaceae. The record is from RNAcentral.